This 570-nucleotide ribosomal RNA is filed under the name uncultured bacterium. RNAcentral's name for it is "bacterial SSU rRNA". It matches the Rfam family "Bacterial small subunit ribosomal RNA", at positions 274 to 842 of the family's 1533-position model. The record is from RNAcentral.
CGACGAUGCGUAGGGGUUCUGAGAGGAAGGUCCCCCACACUGGUACUGAGACACGGACCAGACUCCUACGGGAGGCAGCAGUGAGGAAUAUUGGUCAAUGGGCGGGAGCCUGAACCAGCCAAGUCGCGUGAGGGAAGACGGUCCUAUGGAUUGUAAACCUCUUUAGGCGGGGAGCAAUGCCGGGCACGCGUGCCCGGAGGGAGAGUACCCGCAGAAUAAGCAUCGGCUAACUCCGUGCCAGCAGCCGCGGUAAUACGGAGGAUGCGAGCGUUAUCCGGAUUUAUUGGGUUUAAAGGGUGCGUAGGCGGAUUUUUAAGUCAGCGGUAAAAUGUCCGGGCUCAACCCGGGCCGGCCGUUGAAACUGGGGAUCUUGAGUGGGCGAGAAGUAUGCGGAAUGCGUGGUGUAGCGGUGAAAUGCAUAGAUAUCACGCAGAACUCCGAUUGCGAAGGCAGCAUACCGGCGCCCGACUGACGCUGAGGCACGAAAGCGUGGGGAUCGAACAGGAUUAGAUACCCUGGUAGUCCACGCAGUAAACGAUGAAUGCUAGUUGUCCGGUUCUUUGGGACUGG